This 253-nucleotide ribosomal RNA is filed under the name uncultured bacterium. Its description in RNAcentral is "partial 16S ribosomal RNA". It matches the Rfam family "Bacterial small subunit ribosomal RNA", at positions 524 to 776 of the family's 1533-position model. The record is from RNAcentral.
UACGUAGGGGGCAAGCGUUGUCCGGAUUUAUUGGGCGUAAAGAGCGUGUAGGCGGUCAGGUAGGUCCGUUGUGAAAACUCGAGGCUCAACCUCGAGACGCCGAUGGAAACCAUCUGACUAGAGUCCGGAAGAGGAGAGUGGAAUUCCUGGUGUAGCGGUGAAAUGCGUAGAUAUCGGGAGGAACACCAGUGGCGAAGGCGGCUUCCUGGACCAGUACUGACGCUGAGGCGCGAAAGCUAGGGGAGCAAACAGG